CUUUUACAAUGAAGAGUUUGAUCCUGGCUCAGGAUGAACGCUAGCUACAGGCUUAACACAUGCAAGUCGAGGGGCAGCAUUUCAGUUUGCUUGCAAACUGGAGAUGGCGACCGGCGCACGGGUGAGUAACACGUAUCCAACCUGCCGAUAACUCGGGGAUAGCCUUUCGAAAGAAAGAUUAAUACCCGAUGGUAUAAUCAGACCGCAUGGUCUUAUUAUUAAAGAAUUUCGGUUAUCGAUGGGGAUGCGUUCCAUUAGGCAGUUGGUGAGGUAACGGCUCACCAAACCUUCGAUGGAUAGGGGUUCUGAGAGGAAGGUCCCCCACAUUGGAACUGAGACACGGUCCAAACUCCUACGGGAGGCAGCAGUGAGGAAUANAGGGGCAGCAGGAUCUAGCAAUAGAUUGCUGGCGACCGGCGCACGGGUGAGUAACACGUAUCCAACCUGCCGAUAACUCGGGGAUAGCCUUUCGAAAGAAAGAUUAAUACCCGAUGGUAUAAUCAGACCGCAUGGUUUGAUUAUUAAAGAAUUUCGGUUAUCGAUGGGGAUGCGUUCCAUUAGGCAGUUGGUGAGGUAACGGCUCACCAAACCUUCGAUGGAUAGGGGUUCUGAGAGGAAGGUCCCCCACAUUGGAACUGAGACACGGUCCAAACUCCUACGGGAGGCAGCAGUGAGGAAUAUUGGUCAAUGGGCGCAGGCCUGAACCAGCCAAGUAGCGUGAAGGAUGACUGCCCUAUGGGUUGUAAACUUCUUUUAUAUGGGAAUAAAGUUUUCCACGUGUGGAAUUUUGUAUGUACCAUAUGAAUAAGGAUCGGCUAACUCCGUGCCAGCAGCCGCGGUAAUACGGAGGAUCCGAGCGUUAUCCGGAUUUAUUGGGUUUAAAGGGAGCGUAGGUGGACAGUUAAGUCAGUUGUGAAAGUUUGCGGCUCAACCGUAAAAUUGCAGUUGAUACUGGCUGUCUUGAGUACAGUAGAGGUGGGCGGAAUUCGUGGUGUAGCGGUGAAAUGCUUAGAUAUCACGAAGAACUCCGAUUGCGAAGGCAGCUCACUGGACUGCAACUGACACUGAUGCUCGAAAGUGUGGGUAUCAAACAGGAUUAGAUACCCUGGUAGUCCACACAGUAAACGAUGAAUACUCGCUGUUUGCGAUAUACAGUAAGCGGCCAAGCGAAAGCAUUAAGUAUUCCACCUGGGGAGUACGCCGGCAACGGUGAAACUCAAAGGAAUUGACGGGGGCCCGCACAAGCGGAGGAACAUGUGGUUUAAUUCGAUGAUACGCGAGGAACCUUACCCGGGCUUAAAUUGCAUUUGAAUAAUCUGGAAACAGGUUAGCCGCAAGGCAAAUGUGAAGGUGCUGCAUGGUUGUCGUCAGCUCGUGCCGUGAGGUGUCGGCUUAAGUGCCAUAACGAGCGCAACCCUUAUCUUUAGUUACUAACAGGUCAUGCUGAGGACUCUAGAGAGACUGCCGUCGUAAGAUGUGAGGAAGGUGGGGAUGACGUCAAAUCAGCACGGCCCUUACGUCCGGGGCUACACACGUGUUACAAUGGGGGGUACAGAAGGCAGCUACCUGGUGACAGGAUGCUAAUCCCAAAAGCCUCUCUCAGUUCGGAUCGAAGUCUGCAACCCGACUUCGUGAAGCUGGAUUCGCUAGUAAUCGCGCAUCAGCCAUGGCGCGGUGAAUACGUUCCCGGGCCUUGUACACACCGCCCGUCAAGCCAUGAAAGCCGGGGGUACCUGAAGUACGUAACCGCAAGGAGCGUCCUAGGGUAAAACUGGUAAUUGGGGCUAAGUCGUAACAAGGUAGCCGUACCGGAAGGUGCGGCUGGAACACCUCCUUUCU
Molecule: ribosomal RNA, 1839 nt
Filed under: Bacteroides thetaiotaomicron
Lineage: Bacteria; Pseudomonadati; Bacteroidota; Bacteroidia; Bacteroidales; Bacteroidaceae
Description: bacterial SSU rRNA
Rfam family: Bacterial small subunit ribosomal RNA
Source: RNAcentral